GAUGAACGCUGGCGGCGUGCCUAAUACAUGCAAGUCGAGCGAACAGACGAGGAGCUUGCUCCUCUGACGUUAGCGGCGGACGGGUGAGUAACACGUGGAUAACCUACCUAUAAGACUGGGAUAACUUCGGGAAACCGGAGCUAAUACCGGAUAAUAUAUUGAACCGCAUGGUUCAAUAGUGAAAGACGGUUUUGCUGUCACUUAUAGAUGGAUCCGCGCCGCAUUAUCUAGUUGGUAAGGUAACAGCUUACCAAGGCAACGAUGCGUAGCCGACCUGAGAGGGUGAUAGCCCACACUGGAACUGAGACACGGUCCAGACUCCUACGGGAGGGCGCAGUAGGGAAUGUUCCGCAAUGGGCGAAAGCAUGACGGAGCAACGCCGCGUGAGUGAUGAAGGUGUUCGGAUCGUAAAACUCUGUUAUUAGGGAAGAACAAAUGUGUAAGUAACUAUGCACGUCUUGACGGUACCUAAUCAGAAAGCCACGGCUAACUACGUG
Molecule: ribosomal RNA, 497 nt
Filed under: uncultured bacterium
Lineage: Bacteria
Description: partial 16S ribosomal RNA
Rfam family: Bacterial small subunit ribosomal RNA
Source: RNAcentral